GACGAACGCUGGCGGCGUGCCUAAUACAUGCAAGUUGAGCGCUGAAGGUUGGUACUUGUACCAACUGGAUGAGCAGCGAACGGGUGAGUAACGCGUGGGGAAUCUGCCUUUGAGCGGGGGACAACAUUUGGAAACGAAUGCUAAUACCGCAUAAAAACUUUAAACACAAGUUUUAAGUUUGAAAGAUGCAAUUGCAUCACUCAAAGAUGAUCCCGCGUUGUAUUAGCUAGUUGGUGAGGUAAAGGCUCACCAAGGCGAUGAUACAUAGCCGACCUGAGAGGGUGAUCGGCCACAUUGGGACUGAGACACGGCCCAAACUCCUACGGGAGGCAGCAGUAGGGAAUCUUCGGCAAUGGACGAAAGUCUGACCGAGCAACGCCGCGUGAGUGAAGAAGGUUUUCGGAUCGUAAAACUCUGUUGGUAGAGAAGAACGUUGGUGAGAGUGGAAAGCUCAUAAAGUGACGGUAACUACCCAGAAAGGGACGGCUAACUACGUG
RNAcentral lists this ribosomal RNA (497 nucleotides) under uncultured bacterium. RNAcentral describes it as "partial 16S ribosomal RNA". It matches the Rfam family "Bacterial small subunit ribosomal RNA", at positions 28 to 507 of the family's 1533-position model. The record is from RNAcentral.